Non-coding RNA from Cricetulus griseus (Chinese hamster), 3064 nucleotides. Lineage: Eukaryota; Metazoa; Chordata; Mammalia; Rodentia; Cricetidae. The record is from RefSeq and is a predicted model, not a curated record.
CCCUGCGCACUGACGUCAGGCCGGCGACACAGUCCUGCGCAGGCGUCCCGGGCCCCCGCAAAGAGUGGGAUUUUAGCCAUCUGCGGUUUCAGGAAGCUGUGCUGUUGUCGAAAGUAGUUCCCUAGGGUAAGAAGGGAAGCAGGAGUAAAGGAGAACCGGCUCGAAAAGGAGACAGGAAAGAUGCGCAACUGUCCAGAGAGUGGAAACUUAAAAUGGUAAAAGGUAUUUGGGGAAGUGUUUUAGGGACUUUUGCUGUCUCAUGUUCAAUGUAAUUCUAAUUUUAGUGCUCUUGGAAUUGGUUUUGCGGUUGAAGACACAGUAACAUAGCGUACUUUUGAGAAGUGAAUAUAAACAAAAAAAAGGUGCAAGAUGGAUUUUUAAGGAGAAUUCAAAUCGAUGAGGAGCAGAGGAGAAUCGUUGUACUACUCACUGGCCUGCACUGCUUCAUCACAGUAACUCCAUGUUAUUCUCAUCGUGCAAGAAAUAGCCCCAAGGUCACUCAACUGCAGUGAGAAUUCAAACCCAGGAACCAUACUAUUAUCCACCACUCUACUGACAAAAAGGGAAACAAUACCAUUUACUGGUCUAGACCUGAUGCUAAAUGCUUUGCAUACACUACCCUUUAACCCUCAGCAACCCUACGAGGUUGGAAUCAUUAGCUCUAUUUUCUAUAUUGUAUCCUAAGACUCACAGGUGUGCUCUCCAAGCCGACCUGGAGCAGCUUGGAAACUCAAACUGGAGCUCUGCUUUCCUGCUUGAAGCUGUCUGUGCUCCGUCUAAUCAGAUCUCAGGCAGGGAAGUCAUUAAUGAAGGCUUUCCUAUAGACCAAGGUGCCAAGACAUGAACAUUCCACCCCAAAGAGGAAAAGAUAAAGCCGUCAGCUUCUGUUCUGCCUCCUGGCUGAGGUGCUAAGAAACACACUGAGUCACCUAAUGGCAAGCCAGGCCCUUCAGAAAACAUUGACAUCAUCUCCCAGGCUGCUGCCCCUCCCAUGUGCUCUGGCUCUAGGACUGGUGUUUGUCAAUAUCUUUGUGUCAUCCACAUCUUAAUGAAUGGGCUUAGCUUGGCAGAGCCCUCAGAAAUCAAAGGCACUUCUCUGAUCUUCCUCAUUAACUCAGGGGCUGGAAUAGGGUCAGAGUCAGCAAACUGCCCCACCUUCUUCUAUUAUGCCAAUCAGUCUCAAAAGGAAGCACAAGUUAUACAACCAGCUUUGUAAGGAUAGAAAAAGGGAGGACUGCCAUACCCUACUGUGUUGGUAAAGCAUCCUAAAGCAGUUUGCAUAGGUUCCAGUACAAGGUCUUUCUUGUACUGAGCCAGAAAACUCAAUGUCACAAUCUGAGAACAUGCAUAAAUACCACAACAUCUUCCCUGUUACAAACUCCAAAAUACAAGAAUCAGAGAUCAAGUUCCACCCCUCAAAUGGGUAGAGAGUUGACCAGCUACCAGAAGGGAGCUCUAGGACCAAACCCAAACUCCAACUAGUGAGAAUGCUGGAUUUUGACCAAUUACAUAUUCAAAAAAGGUAAUUGUCUUAGUUUGGGUUUUUGUUGUGGCAAUGAAACACCAUGACCAAAAAGCAAGUUGGGGAGGAAAGGGCUUAUUUAGCUUACACUACCAUAUCACUGUUCAUCAAAGGAAGUCAGGACAGGAACUCAAACAGGGCAGGAACCUGGAGGCAGGAGCAUGGAAGGAUAUUGUUUACUGGCUUGCUCCCCCUGGCUUUCUCAGCCUUCUUUCUUGUUGAACCCAGAACCCUCCCCCAGUAAUCAUUAAUUAAGAAAAUGCCUUACAGCCAGAUCUUAUGGAGGCAUUUUUCUCAAUUGAGGUUCUCACCUUUCAGAUAACUCUAAAUCUAGUGUGUCACGUUGGUGUAAGAUUAACCAGCACAGUAAUACAGUGUGUACAAACCUGCUAUGAAAACAUGAGAAGAUGUAACAUGUUUAACUAAUAAAUCAGGUAAACAAGACAUCUCAAUCAAAGGCUCACUGGGUUUGCUGGUGCAUGCCUGUAGUCCUGGAAAGUUCCAGGCCAGCCUAAACCACUACAUAACAACACCCUGACUUAAACAACAAAGCACGAAUAUACACACACAAAAAGAAUACUUCAUUCGGUCUAAUUUUUCUAUAUCCCUGUAAUCAGUAUGAUUUUUUGCUAAUCCUUAAGGGUACAGAUGAAGUUGAGUGAGGAAUACUCAGUAGCCAUCUGAUUGCUAAUGAUCUACCUCGUAUGUCCACCUGAAGUCUCAUGCCUAAACCCCACAGAUCUUCCUUUUGUUUCAACUGAGAUUUCUAGAAUGAUUUACAUGUUUGUCAACUGUGCCAUGUUUUUCUAAUUACUGAAGCACAAAGCCUUAAUGAUCCUCCUCACUGGCUUACAAUUCACUUAAUGUGGUCUCUACGCUACAGCAACUUUCCCUGUAUAAACUCAAGUCUAUUCAUUUCCCACUUCUUUCUCCCUGCAUUUCCCCCAAUCCAAAGUCUCCUAUUUACCUGUACUUCCUACCCGCAACUUCCCUCCUUUGAAUGAUAUCUUGUUCCACCCUAGCAGUCUCUACAGAGCUAUCAGAGUAAUAUCACUAAAAUUCCACUGUAUACAGAGCAUCCCUGCUUCAAAAGUUGACUUGUCUCCUUGUUACUUUUGCUGUGAAGGAUGAACUACAGUCCAGUGGUCAGAGCCCACAGAGCAGCUUCAACCCACCCCGGCAAACUGCAUCCUGCAGUUCACCUGAGUCUAAGCGGACUGACCACUGUGCCCCCUUGGUGGUCUGAAUGAGAAUGGCCCCUAUGCUCAUAUAUUUUAAUGUUUGCUUCCUGGUUUGGUGGACUGUUUAGGAAGGGUUAGUUGUGAGAUUGUUGGAGGAAGUGUGUUCCCUAGGGAGGGCCUUUAGGUUUCAAAAGCCCAGGACAACCCCGGUCUUAUUCUUUCUCUCUGACUCCUGCCUACAGACCAGGAUGUAAGCUCCAGCGCCAUUGCCUGUCUGCCGCCAUGCUUGCCACCAUAAAAAUCAUGGACUAACCCUCUAAAAUGAUAAGCAAACCCCCAAUUAAAUGCUUACUUCGAUAGA